Molecule: long non-coding RNA, 896 nt
Filed under: Homo sapiens (human)
Lineage: Eukaryota; Metazoa; Chordata; Mammalia; Primates; Hominidae
Description: non-protein coding lnc-ZNF200-3:1
Source: RNAcentral
GGGACCCUCAGGACAACGCAGGUGAUGUGCAUAUAGGAAGCCAGGAGGCAAAGAAAUGGGGUGAUCGUGACUAGGGCAGCCUCAGUAAGAAUCAUCACUUCACUGAGGUGUGUGUCUGAACAGGAGAGUUUCAGGAGGGGAGUCACAUCGCAGAAGAAGUGAGUGAUGGCAUUGUCUGCACAGAAUGAGAGUGGAGCCAUCAGCAGGGUGUGCAGAAGGACAUUCAGGUUGGCAACCACCCAUAAUCCAGCAACCAGCAGGGCACAGAGCUGAUGGGUCAUCUUUGCUGUGUAAUGUAAGGGGUGGCACACGGCGACAAAGUGGUCAUAGGCCAUCACAGCUAGGAGGAAAUUGUCCAUGUCCACGAACAUGAAAACGAAAUACAUCUGUGUGAGACAGCCACAGAAGGAGAUGGUCUGAGUCUCGAGUAUGUGAUUGGCCAGCAUCUUGGGGACGGUGGUGAAGGAGAAGCAGAUGUCCACAAAAGACAGGUUGCUGAGGAAGAAGUACAUGGGGGUGUGCAGGCAGGAGUCUAUGCUUACGGACAGGAUGAUGAGCAGGUUCCCCAGGACAGUGGCCAGGUACAUGCUGAGGAAGAACACAAAGAGGAGAUGCUGCUGCUGGGGCUGCCUGGAGAGUCCCAGGAGGAGGAACUCGGAGACACUCGACUGGUUUGUCCCGCUCAUGGGCCUGGGAUCCUGGACACAGAGGCAGACAAAGAAGACGAAAUGCAAAAGCUUGGAAAAUGCUGGUUAAGAUGGGGCACAGGAAUGGCAGUAGAAUUUUGCUUGCAGGAUGUAAAUGAUAAUAUUGUCAACCCUGCUGGGGCUGCUACUGCUAUGUUCAGGGCUCAGGUUUACAGAAGUCUGAGCCAGGCCUUCUUGGCUAUAUCCACG